CCCUUAGAUGUUCUGGGCCGCACGCGCGCUACACUGACGAAUGCAACGAGCUUAUAACCUUGGCCGAAAGGUCUGGGUAAUCUCCAAAUUUCGUCGUGAUGGGGAUAGAUUAUUGCAAUUAUUAAUCUUCAACGAGGAAUGCCUAGUAAGCGCAAGUCAUCAGCUUGCGUUGAUUACGUCCCUGCCCUUUGUACACACCGCCCGUCGCUCCUACCGAUUGAAUGGUCCGGUGAAGCGUUCGGUCCGUGGCCUUUGGACGGUUCGCCGUCUGUUGGCUGCGGGAAGUUCGUUAAACCUUAUCAUUUAGAGGAAGGAGAANUCGUAACA
RNAcentral lists this ribosomal RNA (327 nucleotides) under uncultured eukaryote. RNAcentral's name for it is "partial 18S ribosomal RNA". It matches the Rfam family "Eukaryotic small subunit ribosomal RNA", at positions 1470 to 1796 of the family's 1831-position model. The record is from RNAcentral.